Molecule: long non-coding RNA, 2525 nt
Organism: Tachysurus fulvidraco (yellow catfish)
Lineage: Eukaryota; Metazoa; Chordata; Actinopteri; Siluriformes; Bagridae
Exons: 5
Source: RefSeq, a predicted model, not a curated record
UGUGCGAGCGCAGGAAACGCUCAGUGUCACAGUGCCGGUGUGCGCGAGACGGCGCUCACAGACGUGCCGGUGCGCGCGAGACGGCGCUCACAGACGUGCCAGUGUGCGCGAGACAACUUUAUUUUCCUCUGUUUUCUGUAUAGACGCGCCGCCAUCAUCAUCAUCAUCAUCAUCAUCAUCAUCAUCAUCAUCAUCAUCAUCAUCAUCAUUAUUAUCAUCAUCAUCAUCAUCAUCAUCAUCAUCAUCACCGGCUUUAUUAUGACCAAGAGGACUUUCGGUGUCAGGGGACGACGUGGCGUUCACAGGUCAGCUGUUCAGAGAGAGAAAGAUGGCAGAAUGUUCCUGAAGUUUCUCCUGGCUUCACUUAAAGCUGUAAUGAAUCUGCAGCGAUACUCCGUAUCAGUGCGUCACCAUCUCGCUGACUCCAGAAAACAAACAUGCGUCUGAGACUGACAGAAGCGAGAGGCAUUAUUUUGUCUUCCAUGAAAGCACCAUAUCAGAUGUGGAGCCGAAGAGAGCACGUGGACGCCUCUGCACCAUCACCAGCGGAUGCUGUCACUUGGAUUAAGGCCAGAUCCUGCAGUGCUCCAAGACAGAAAUUCAGUUACUUAGUCGUGUGUGUGUGUGUGUGUGUGUGUGUGUGUUUAAUGUGACCUGACACGGUGAGACUGUGCAUUUCAUGAUCAGACAGGCCUCUUUAACACAGACACAGAACGUUUUCCUUUCAGAUUUCAUUGAGUGCUUUUUAUUUAUUUAUUUAUUUAUUUAUUUAUUUAUUUUUACAAUCAUUGUAGAAAUUAACUGAGACUUUAAUUAAACAAACAUGUAUUUUUAGCAUAGCUGUUAGCAGUAAGCAGGGUUAUUAGAUAGUGUGUGUGCUGCUGAUGUUUCACUGAUUUUCCUGUGACCUGACAUCGACCUUCAAGGAGAAAGCUAAGCUGACGUCGUCCCGCUUCACCGUCAUGUCCACGUUCGCCUCGGUGAACAUUCAACGCUGUCGGUGAGUUUGAGCUAAUCUGACAAAACCAUCGACCGUUGACUGUACCCCAUGGCUAAACUCUGACAGCACUCCUCAACACAGGCUACGCUACUGAGAGACGUCGUCUUCAUCCUCAGAACAGCUCCUGAGUGCUUUGGGCUCACCAAUAAAAGCUCUAUCAAAGGUCACAAUCAACAUUCAUUGCUGUCGGUGGGUUGCACUGUGAAGGAAAGCUCGCUGAACAAUGAAUGCAACUGUGUCCCAGUCUUUCUCAUCCCACGUUAAUGAACAGACAUGAUGAAAUCUUUUGCUAACUCGUGCUCGGUUUUGUUGAUAUCUCACAUAAUGAAAAAUGAGACUGUAUCUCAAAGACUGUCACUAGGUGCAGAACACUGCCUGUGUUAAGAAGAACAUCAGAAUAAAUGGGAUUCAUCACAGAUUUCAGUUUUUAAUAAUUUCUCAUUAUACCACAGCUUGGUGUGGACCUCAGAGCAUCUCACAGCAUACUGAAGGCUUCCAAUCACCAUUUUCCUGCCGUUUUAUUAACCACAUACACACAGUCGGACCUUCAUGAAACCUUUUCCAUCUAAGAAUUUGAAACAAAUUGUUUAUUUCAUGUUUAAAUGAAACUAAAAGUAAAGCAUGUAGGCCUGAAUGUUCUAGUGUUGGAUGAUGACCCAAAGGAUUAUUUGGAUGGAGUUAUGGACCAGCUGCUGUGUGCUUGAGGCGAACCUGAGGGAGCAGAGCAGGUUUAGUGACAUCAACAUUUAUCUACUACAGUUUACACAAGGAAGAGAAAAUGUACCCUGGCUUUCCAGGCUAAGCCGAGAUUAUAGCUGGUUGCUGUUCGUUCAUGAAAAAAAUGAUCUAAAAUAAAUUGGUCAAGUAGCUGAACAAGCUUAUCGUAUCUGCGUGCAGAUUCCUCUGUGACGGGAGAAAUGACUAGACAAUCCUCUGGAUUAAUUAUCGUCAGAUUACAGUUCAAAACAAACACCAAGCGGUGGCCAUCUUUUAUCUGUGGAUCUCUCCAUAUGGUUUUGUGUCAUCUUGUGAUGCCAAGAGGAAUAAAAUAAAGACCGUGAUCUCAAUGUGUUAAAGAGGAACGGAUGGUAUGUUUACGCCAUCGAGUAACAAGAAAGCAAGAAAAAAUAAUCAAAUGACAUGCAACACACACACACGCACACACACACACAUAAAUAAUUGAAUUUAUCUUCGGUAAGCUCUUUAUUUUAGUCAGGGUUGAGUUGGAUCUGGAGCCUUUCCCAGACGUGAUGUGCUGGAUGGGACACACUCACAGGUUAAAGUGGAUUAUGAUGAAUAAGUAGAUGUUGGAACUCUGACAGUGAUUGUGAGAAGGAGGUUACAGAUUCAAUUAGAUCUCAAACUCUAGUGUAGGGAUGAGGCUGUGGAUCGGCUCUGGUCUCUCCAUUCAACAGUCAAUACAUUUUAUUUUAAUAUCAUUACAGACUGUCUGCUGUUUUCCUGAAUGAGUGUUUUAGAAGUUCAAGAUGUUUAUUAGAAAUAAACAGCUUUAAAAAUCAUCAGA